Molecule: non-coding RNA, 29 nt
Filed under: Mus musculus (house mouse)
Lineage: Eukaryota; Metazoa; Chordata; Mammalia; Rodentia; Muridae
Source: RNAcentral
UGUGUUUAACUCACAGGGUUGCCCCUAGA